UACGUAGGGGGCAAGCGUUGUUCGGAAUUACUGGGCGGAAAGGGCGCGUAGGCGGCACGGCAAGUCGGGAGUGAAAGGCCUGGGCUCAACCGAGGAACUGCUUUCGAGACUGCCGAGCUAGAGUGCGGAAGGGGCAACUGGAAUUCCCAGUGUAGCGGUGAAAUGCGUAGAUAUUGGGAAGAACACCUGAGGCGAAGGCGGGUUGCUGGGCCGACACUGACGCUGAGGCGCGAAAGCCAGGGGAGCAAACGGG
Molecule: ribosomal RNA, 253 nt
Filed under: uncultured bacterium
Lineage: Bacteria
Description: partial 16S ribosomal RNA
Rfam family: Bacterial small subunit ribosomal RNA
Source: RNAcentral